This 501-nucleotide ribosomal RNA is filed under the name uncultured bacterium. RNAcentral's name for it is "partial 16S ribosomal RNA". It matches the Rfam family "Bacterial small subunit ribosomal RNA", at positions 30 to 523 of the family's 1533-position model. The record is from RNAcentral.
AUUGAACGCUGGCGGCAGGCUUAACACAUGCAAGUCGAGCGGGGGAAGGUAGCUUGCUACCGGACCUAGCGGCGGACGGGUGAGUAAUGCUUAGGAAUCUGCCUAUUAGUGGGGGACAACAUCUCGAAAGGGAUGCUAAUACCGCAUACGUCCUGCGGGAGAAAGCAGGGGAUCUUCGGACCUUGCGCUAAUAGAUGAGCCUAAGUCGGAUUAGCUAGUUGGUGGGGUAAAGGCCUACCAAGGCGACGAUCUGUAGCGGGUCUGAGAGGAUGGUCCGCCACGCUGGGACUGGGACACGGCCCAGACUUCGACGGGAGGCAGCAGUGGGGAAUAUUGGACAAUGGGGGGAACCCUGAUCCAGCCAUGCCGCGUGUGUGAAGAAGGCCUUAUGGUUGUAAAGCACUUUAAGCGAGGAGGAGGCUACUCUAGUUAAUACCUAGGGAUAGUGGACGUUACUCGCAGAAUAAGCACCGGCUAACUCUGUGCCAGCAGCCGCCGUAA